CGAACGGGUGAGUAACACGUGGGUGACCUGCCCUUAGCUCUGGGAUAAGCCUGGGAAACUGGGUCUAAUACCGGAUAUGACUCCAUGACGCAUGUUGUGGGGUGGAAAGCCUUGUGCGGCUAGGGAUGGGGCCGCGGCCUAUCAGCUUGUUGGUGGGGUGAUGGCCUACCAAGGCGACGACGGGUAGCCGGCCUGAGAGGGCGACCGGCCACACUGGGACUGAGACACGGCCCAG
Molecule: ribosomal RNA, 235 nt
Filed under: uncultured bacterium
Lineage: Bacteria
Description: partial 16S ribosomal RNA
Rfam family: Bacterial small subunit ribosomal RNA
Source: RNAcentral